Helianthus annuus (common sunflower) is the source of this 1829-nucleotide long non-coding RNA. RefSeq lists it as uncharacterized. Lineage: Eukaryota; Viridiplantae; Streptophyta; Magnoliopsida; Asterales; Asteraceae. The transcript has 8 exons. The record is from RefSeq and is a predicted model, not a curated record.
GAGAUUUAAUCUCAGCCGUUUAAACUACCAAAAUAACCGCUCUAAUGGCGGUUUCCGGAGGUUAUGGUCGGUUUUUGCAACUGGUGGUUACCUCCGCCUUUUGCUGCUCCACUAUCUCCACGACUCAACUACCUAAAAUAUUACCUUUAACCGUUUUGGGUACUACAAAUUCUAAUGUUCCCAUUAAAUAUAACUGCCUACUAAAUGCAUAUUAGCCCUUGCAUUGACCUGAGAUGAAAUUUUGAACGUAAUAAUCCAAGGAAUGCCUUCUAGAAGGAGAGGUUGAAGACAGUUUUUUUCUUCCCACGUCUCUGAGCAGUUAUGGUGUGUCCCCCGUAUAUUACCUACCAAGUCCCAACACCCCCCUGCUACCUCAUUUCUCCCAAACUUUUCUCUCAUGGCGUCCUUCUUAUUCUUCCCAAGCUACAAUGGCAUCAAAACCUAAUCAACAAUUUCCAUAUUUUUUCUAUAUCGGAUGAAGACAUCAUGAUGGACUCCAAUUCUACUUACACUGUAGACUCCGGUCAAGAUUUCGCCGCCCUUCUUCUGUCUCCAGAAUAUUCAUUGCCGUCAAUCACGCCGCCGUUAGGGCUAAAUGCGUCGGCCUUUGGGCCGUGCGACUCCAUCUGCCAUUUUUUGUGGCUUUUUGUUAACCCUAAUAGAAGGCACAAGAUAUUAUCUUGAUAAAUUUCUUAGCGCUUAAUAGCCUAUGCCAAUGAUGACUGAAGAGAUGCCAUUGCCAUCUCCCAACACACCCCAGGCUUUCAGUUUCUUAAUAAAGAUGUGGAACCAGGCUCCAAGUCUGAUUCUUCUUCAUGGUCAUCUUUGUUUGAUUCAGAUGAAGAAUCGGACAUGGUAUCAAAUAUUGCAGAGAACAUGAGCAACUGGAGUCACUUUCAUGGGUUUUAAUAUUACUAAUAUAAUUGUUGUAAUGUGCUCAUGACAAAAUGUCCAAGGCACUUAUGAGUCACUCCUGGCGCUGAAAGUAUUCUUGGAAAUAUGAAAAGGGUUGACAAUAACAUGUACCAUGAGACAUUACACUGUAUGUUUGUUGUUAUUGUUUGCCCCACCAUUAAAAGAUACAAUUGCAAAAAUUCAUGUGUUGGAACCUAAUUCGUUGGGGGAAGCUACUUGAAGCCAUUAACACAAGGUCCUGCACGUGUCCUGUUGAGGGUGGUGUAAAUCGAAGCGAUUGGUGUUGAAAGUAAAAAGUUAUGUCUUCCUCCAGUCAAACAAGAUGAAUUUGAAGAUUGUAUAAAUUAAAAAUGAGCUUUGGGUGACCUUCAAUCCUUCAUCCUAUUUGAGCAAGGAGUGUAUUAUACUUUGGAUCAUUGGGAACAAAUUUUAGGGGUUUGCUCAUGUCGUUGGCUGGGAAGUCUGGUAUUGAAUUCCAAGAGUUUGUUGAGGUGUCAAACCCUCUUCAAUAGAUGGGUUGGAAAUCUAGAAAUUUUACGUUUGAUUCAGAUGAUCUUGGUGAACAUAAGGAAGAGUUAAGUUUAAGGGAUUGAUAUGUUUGGACAUAAGGAAGAGCUACCAGGAACGGAUAUGGAAAUUGGCGAUUCCCCAUAACUACAAAGAGAGAUGCAGAGAGUCUGGACUACAAAAAACUGCUUGAUAUGAGUUUCUCACCUCUUAAAUUUUGUCGAGUUGGGUUGUAUUUGAUCUUAAAAGUGUCAAUUAAACAAAUUAGCCUAAACGUAUCAAGUAAAAGAAAAGCUCAAAUGAGUUGAAAGUGAAACUAUUUUUUAAUGUAUAGUUGCAUACAACCUCUUUAAACAAUUUUUUUUGAAGAUUGAUGUUGUAUUAUUUCAAUACAAUUUAUUUAAUCA